GACGAACGUUGGCGGCGUGCUUAACACAUGCAAGUCGAACGGAAAGGCCUUUUCGGAGGUACUCGAGUGGCGAACGGGUGAGUAACACGUGGGUGAUCUGCCCUGCACUCUGGGAUAAGCCUGGGAAACUGGGUCUAAUACCGGAUAGGACCGCACUUUAGUGUGUGUGGUGGAAAGUUUUUUCGGUGUAGGAUGAGCCCGCGGCCUAUCAGCUUGUUGGUGGGGUAAUGGCCUACCAAGGCGGCGACGGGUAGCCGGACUGAGAGGUUGGUCGGCCACAUUGGGACUGAGAUACGGCCCAGACUCCUACGGGAGGCAGCAGUGGGGAAUAUUGCACAAUGGGCGCAAGCCUGAUGCAGCGACGCCGCGUGGGGGAUGACGGCCUUCGGGUUGUAAACUCCUUUCGCCAGGGACGAAGCGUUUUGUGACGGUACCUGGAGAAGAAGCACCGGCUAACUACGUG
This 463-nucleotide ribosomal RNA is filed under the name uncultured bacterium. Its description in RNAcentral is "partial 16S ribosomal RNA". It matches the Rfam family "Bacterial small subunit ribosomal RNA", at positions 28 to 507 of the family's 1533-position model. The record is from RNAcentral.